UACAGAGGUCCCAAGCGUUGUUCGGAUUUACUGGGCGUAAAGGGCGCGUAGGCGGUGCGUUAAGUUAGGCGUGAAAGCCCUGGGCUCAACCCGGGAACUGCGCUUGAUACUGGCGCGCUUGAAUCCAGGAGAGGUUGGUGGAAUUCCCAGUGUAGAGGUGAAAUUCGUAGAGAUUGGGAAGAACACCGGUGGCGAAGGCGGCCAACUGGACUGGUAUUGACGCUGAGGCGCGAAAGCGUGGGGAGCAAACAGG
This 253-nucleotide ribosomal RNA is filed under the name uncultured bacterium. Its description in RNAcentral is "partial 16S ribosomal RNA". It matches the Rfam family "Bacterial small subunit ribosomal RNA", at positions 524 to 776 of the family's 1533-position model. The record is from RNAcentral.